Molecule: ribosomal RNA, 426 nt
Filed under: uncultured bacterium
Lineage: Bacteria
Description: bacterial SSU rRNA
Rfam family: Bacterial small subunit ribosomal RNA
Source: RNAcentral
GUUGGGAAUAUUGCACAAUGGGCGAAAGCCUGAUGCAGCAACGCCGCGUGCACGAUGAAGGCCUUCGGGUCGUAAAGUGCUUUUCUGCAGGACGAGGAAGGACGGUACUGUAGGAAUAAGGAUCGGCUAACUACGUGCCAGCAGCCGCGGUAAAACGUAGGAUCCGAGCGUUAUCCGAAUUCACUGGGCGUAAAGCGCUUGCAGGCGGCUGGAUAAGUUGGAUGUGAAAUCUCCUGGCUCAACUGGGAGAGGCCGUUCAAGACUGUCUGGCUAGAGGGCGAUAGAGGGAGGUGGAAUUCCCGGUGUAGUGGUGAAAUGCGUAGAUAUCGGGAGGAACACCAGAGGCGAAAGCGGCCUCCUGGAUCGCACCUGACGCUCAGAAGCGAAAGCUAGGGGAGCGAACGGGAUUAGAAACCCGAGUAGUCC